RNAcentral lists this ribosomal RNA (106 nucleotides) under Pteropus alecto (black flying fox). Lineage: Eukaryota; Metazoa; Chordata; Mammalia; Chiroptera; Pteropodidae. The record is from RNAcentral.
GUCUACGGCCAUGCCACCCUGAACAAGCCCCAUGUCUGAUCUCGGAAACUAAGCCUGGUUAGUACUUGGAUGGGAGACCAUCUAGGAAGACCAGGUGCUGUAGGUA